RNAcentral lists this ribosomal RNA (374 nucleotides) under uncultured bacterium. RNAcentral's name for it is "bacterial SSU rRNA". It matches the Rfam family "Bacterial small subunit ribosomal RNA", at positions 790 to 1167 of the family's 1533-position model. The record is from RNAcentral.
GUAGUCCACGCAGUAAACGAUGAUAACUGGGCGUAUGCGAUAUACAGUAUGCUCCUAAGCGAAAGCGUUAAGUUAUCCACCUGGGGAGUACGCCGGCAACGGUGAAACUCAAAGGAAUUGACGGGGGCCCGCACAAGCGGAGGAACAUGUGGUUUAAUUCGAUGAUACGCGAGGAACCUUACCCGGGAUUGAAAUGUAGAUGACCGCUCCUGAAAGGGAGUUUUCCUUCGGGACAUCUAUGUAGGUGCUGCAUGGUUGUCGUCAGCUCGUGCCGUGAGGUGUCGGCUUAAGUGCCAUAACGAGCGCAACCCCUGUCUACGGUUGCCAUCAGGUAAUGCUGGGAACUCCGUAGAGACUGCCGUCGUAAGGCGUGA